CAUCAGCCUAUUUACCUACCAAUAAGAACAUUUUAUUAAUACAACUCAGCUUUAAUUUUUUACACGUCACUUUUCUUUUCCAUCAAUUAUUUCCGAAUAAAGGCAAAUAUCUUUGGCCCAUUCCGGUCAAAUUCCUAAAACCCAUUUUGACUCCAUCGCCGCCAAAUCCUUCCCAAUCAGCCAAGCUAGCUUCUUCGAUUAUCUCUUCUUAUUCCCAACCAUGGUUUUCGCAUUCAAGAUAAUUGAAAACCAAAAAAAUGUAUAAUCGCAAUCCAAAGGAGAUGAAAAAACAAGGCAUGGGGCCAAUUGAUACUAACUUGAGCUUUAGGAAGAUUAUGAAUGACGUUGAGAACUUUGGUAACCACUUUGGUAACCUCUCUUUUGAUGCGUAUAAUUGUCUCUCUUAUAUCAUAAGGAAAGACUCAGGAUCUUAAUCUUUGAAGGUACAUGACAUGAAAAAUAAGAAAGCAUUGGAGAAUAAUAAAUGAAUGCACUUGGUGGAAAGCCUCAACAGAAACAGAGGCUAUCAUUUAGUGUAGCGUGAGUAAACAUGAAGAAAGAGAAGAGAAGAUGUUUGAACUGAAUAUGAUUCUUGGCAAAUUUUGGAGGACAACUUGGUGGUGGAAGUACGAAGAAACCCGCAAAGGGGAUACAUAAUCUAGAGGAGAGAGUCGUUAAAUGAAUUGUAGGGAAUUUUUUGAGUGGUGUACUUGAUGCUAGGAAUUUGCUACAUUCUUGUUCUUGAAGAACUAAUGACAGAGAUAAGAAGAUCAAGAUCAAGAUCGGAGGAGAAAUUGGAGGAGGCAAAGAAAGUAAAAGACAAUAGAAAAGAGACAAAAAGAAUUAAGGAAAGAAGAAACAAGGCGGUAGGAGGAAAGGCAAGUAACCGCGGUAGAUGUGUUAACAAAUUUUUUGAAACCAGUCUUGUGAUCAAAGGAGCCUACUUCAAAAGAUGUUUGAAGCCAUGCAAGCAUCAUGACAUAGAACGAUUAAUCUUGGUAAUGGCAUUUAUGAAAAUGUCAAAAAUUUGGAAUGAUAUUUCCACAGUAGCCUCUCUUUAGGAUAAGUGCAGUUAUAGCUAUUGAAUUGGUUUUGAUUGUGAAAGAAAACAAAUCUUCUUAUCCCGGACGAUAUGAGUUUAUUUGGAGAGUGCCAUAAACGCGAUCGGUGAUAUCACCAUUUUCAGUCGCCGCGGGUGACUCUAGGUUUGAGUAGAAAUUAGAAAACUGAUUUACUUCAAUUAAUAGCCCUGUCAUAUAUGUUAAAAGUAACUUAGUUGUAAUCGUAAAACAAUGGUCAAUUAUGAUUAUAAUCGCAAUAUAAGACACUCAAGCGUUAGUCACGUAAUGUCUUUUAAACAUUUCAACCACUAACCACUUAACCGAAUUAGUUAAUAUAUACGUAUAUGUUUGUAUAGAGAUUAAAUUUUUAUGUAGUUUUACUAAUUAAAAACUGAUUUAGCUGAAAUAGAAAACAUUACAGCUUUUAUUAUUGUUUACAUCUUA
Long non-coding RNA from Arabidopsis lyrata subsp. lyrata, 1505 nucleotides. RefSeq lists it as uncharacterized. The record is from RefSeq and is a predicted model, not a curated record. Lineage: Eukaryota; Viridiplantae; Streptophyta; Magnoliopsida; Brassicales; Brassicaceae. The transcript is spliced from 3 exons.